Molecule: non-coding RNA, 107 nt
Organism: Acanthosepion pharaonis
Lineage: Eukaryota; Metazoa; Mollusca; Cephalopoda; Sepiida; Sepiidae
Source: the annotation of a GenBank genome assembly
GCCAUAUCACAUUUAAACACUGGUUCUCAUCUGAUCACUGAAGUUAAGCAACAUUGAGCCUGGCCAGUAACUAAAUGGGUAACCAUUUGGGAAUAAUAAGUGCUGUA